This 276-nucleotide ribosomal RNA is filed under the name Cestopagurus timidus. RNAcentral's name for it is "partial 16S ribosomal RNA". The stretch from base 129 to 276 matches the Rfam family "Bacterial large subunit ribosomal RNA", at positions 2473 to 2621 of the family's 2925-position model. Lineage: Eukaryota; Metazoa; Arthropoda; Malacostraca; Decapoda; Paguridae. The record is from RNAcentral.
UAUAAAUUAUAAUUUUAUUGUGCUGGGGUGGUGUAUAUAUAUUGUAAAACUGUUUAUAAAAUAAAAUCAAUAAUAUUUGAUUAAUAAAAUUGAUCCUUUAAUAGAUUAAAAGAUUAAAAUACUUUAGGGAUAACAGCGUUAUUUUUUCUAAGAGUUCUUAUUGAAGAAAAAGUUUGCGACCUCGAUGUUGAAUUAAAGUUUCUUUGUGGUGUAGCAGCUAUGUAAGAGAGUCUGUUCGACUUUUAAUACUUUACGUGAUCUGAGUUCAGACCGGAA